AGUGAACGCUGGCGGUAGGCCUAACACAUGCAAGUCGAACGGCAGCACAGUAAGAGCUUGCUCUUACGGGUGGCGAGUGGCGGACGGGUGAGGAAUACAUCGGAAUCUACUUUUUCGUGGGGGAUAACGUAGGGAAACUUACGCUAAUACCGCAUACGACCUACGGUUGAAAGCAGGGGAUCUUCGGACCUUGCGCGAUUGAAUGAGCCGAUGUCGGAUUAGCUAGUUGGCGGGGUAAAGGCCCACCAAGGCGACGAUCCGUAGCUGGUCUGAGAGGAUGAUCAGCCACACUGGAACUGAGACACGGUCCAGACUCCUACGGGAGGCAGCAGUGGGGAAUAUUGGACAAUGGGCGCAAGCCUGAUCCAGACAUACCGCGUGGGUGAAGAAGGCCUUCGGGUUGUAAAGCCCUUUUGUUGGGAAAGAAAAGCAGCAGGUUAAUACCCCGCUGUUCUGACGGUACCCAAAGAAUAAGCACCGGCUAACUUCGUG
This 492-nucleotide ribosomal RNA is filed under the name uncultured bacterium. RNAcentral describes it as "partial 16S ribosomal RNA". It matches the Rfam family "Bacterial small subunit ribosomal RNA", at positions 29 to 507 of the family's 1533-position model. The record is from RNAcentral.